RNAcentral lists this ribosomal RNA (234 nucleotides) under uncultured bacterium. Its description in RNAcentral is "partial 16S ribosomal RNA". It matches the Rfam family "Bacterial small subunit ribosomal RNA", at positions 104 to 334 of the family's 1533-position model. The record is from RNAcentral.
CGGGACGGGGUGAGUAAUAUCUGGGAAACUGCCUGAUGGAGGGGGGUAACUACUGGAAACGGUAGCUAAUACCGCAUAACGUCGCAAGACCAAAGAGGGGGACCUUCGGGCCUCUUGCCAUCGGAUGUGCCCAGAUGGGAUUAGCUAGUAGGUGGGGUAACGGCUCACCUAGGCGACGAUCCCUAGCUGGUCUGAGAGGAUGACCAGCCACACUGGAACUGAGACACGGUCCAG